GUACAGAUGCACAGUGUGGCCUUUUUUGAAAUUAGCCUCAAAUUUUUCUUUUGAUUUUAGUAUAGGCUCUAAGCCCAUUCUUUAUCAUUUGGUUUGGGCCAAUGGUAUGUCAAUGCGUUUACUGCUUUCUGCACACCCACAAUUACUAACUGAGUGUUCGUACCUCACUCAUCUUAUACUACACCUCCUUAUUUAAUUUUUUUUCCAAUCUGUACCCUUGUAAGAAAAUUUUUGAGUGUUACCUUUUAUUUUUUUUAAUUCACCCAUUAAAUAAUUAAAAGCCUACACCACCAUUUCUUUUUUCUCACUGAGAAUAUUCCCAAACUCUACACCCUAUUUCUCUUCUUAAGUGUUUUUCCUCCCCUCUUCUCUCAUUUACUUUUAAUAGUCUCUUAUUCUCUUUCAUUUGUUGGGUUUCUAGAUUGAUUCUGAUUUCCUUAAGUUUGUAUGUAGUAUUUGUGUGGAUGGGAUGCAUUUCUGGACUGGAUUGAAGGUCAUAAUUGUACUUAGAAGUGUGGUUGAGAACAUGUUGAUUGUGGAAGUACAAUUACAUAGCUUGUCGCACUUAGAAGUGUGGUUAAGAGCUCGCCAAAAUUGGAAAUGCAGACCACGGUAGCCACACUUGGAAGGACGGUUCAUAGUUU
Molecule: long non-coding RNA, 644 nt
Filed under: Vigna radiata
Lineage: Eukaryota; Viridiplantae; Streptophyta; Magnoliopsida; Fabales; Fabaceae
Description: long non-coding RNA (VRAD_LNC009183)
Source: RNAcentral